Molecule: transfer RNA, 73 nt
Filed under: Marmota marmota marmota (Alpine marmot)
Lineage: Eukaryota; Metazoa; Chordata; Mammalia; Rodentia; Sciuridae
Also listed under: 1 other name
Source: Rfam by way of RNAcentral
AGGGAUGUCACUCAGUCGGUAGAGUGCUUGCCUUACAUGUGCAAGGCCCUGGGCUCAAUCCCCAGCACCACAA